This is a long non-coding RNA of Arachis stenosperma, 871 nucleotides long. RefSeq lists it as uncharacterized. The transcript has 2 exons. Lineage: Eukaryota; Viridiplantae; Streptophyta; Magnoliopsida; Fabales; Fabaceae. The record is from RefSeq and is a predicted model, not a curated record.
GCCACGGUUUGGGUGUGACGACUCACAUCACCGCGGAUAUAUCCUUGUGCUACAAGCUACAUUUUUCGCGCAAACUAAAUCAGAUAAUUCAAUUUGUAAAAAUGAGAAAUGUAAUAUGAACAAAAAAAUUGAUAGAAAUUUCUGUGUAGAUUAGCAUGAAUGACUUGGUAAUUUCGGUUAUUGUGAAGAAGGAAUUAAUGAAUGAAGCACCCCCUAUAAAUACAGGAUUCUCAUAUUGUUAUGCUUCAUAUCGAUCAUCAACAUUCAUAACAUACAUAUAUCCACAUUCCAAAAAGCAUAUAGAUAAUAAUGAGUAGCGAAAGCAUAAACAUUCAAAAGGUUCUGUGCCCUGUGACAAGGCCACCUCCUACUAAUUCAAAUCCUCCUCCAAAACCUGUAAAAAAGUUGCCAACUAUUCAAGAUGCCUUUGCAAGAAGGACCAAAUCAUAAUCCCACUACAUUCUAGUGUGCUUUUGGUGAAUGAAGCAGUGCAAUUAAGUUACGUACCAUGAGGAGGAUAUAUGUAGUGGUCUUAUUUGUUUAUUUUAUUUAUUUGUUAGUUUGACUUCACAUACAUUUGUUAAAAUAUGUGCUUCUAUCUCCAAUAAGGUGAAAAUUCAGGUGAAAAUUCAGGUGAAGUUGGUGAAGUCAACUUCACGUGAAGUUGAUAUCUGAGAGUUAUUGGAUGAAAAUUUAGUCAAAUCAGUCAAAUCAUCUAACAACUCUCAGAUAUCAACUUCACUUAAAGUCAACUUCACCUGAGUUUUCACCCUCCAAUAAUUGUACUUUAAUUUAAUGUGUUUCUCAUUGCAAACAAGUGAGAGUUAUCAUAGUAAUAAAAUGUGAUGAUAUGCAUUUGUGCGGUGUUAAA